Molecule: ribosomal RNA, 252 nt
Filed under: uncultured bacterium
Lineage: Bacteria
Description: partial 16S ribosomal RNA
Rfam family: Bacterial small subunit ribosomal RNA
Source: RNAcentral
UACGUAGGUCCCGAGCGUUGUCCGGAUUUAUUGGGCGUAAAGCGAGCGCAGGUGGUUUAUUAAGUCUGGUGUAAAAGGCAGUGGCUCAACCAUUGUAUGCAUUGGAAACUGGUAGACUUGAGUGCAGGAGAGGAGAGUGGAAUUCCAUGUGUAGCGGUGAAAUGCGUAGAUAUAUGGAGGAACACCGGUGGCGAAAGCGGCUCUCUGGACUGCAACUGACGUUGAGGCCCGAAAGCGUGGGGAGCAAACAGG